This 492-nucleotide ribosomal RNA is filed under the name uncultured bacterium. RNAcentral describes it as "partial 16S ribosomal RNA". It matches the Rfam family "Bacterial small subunit ribosomal RNA", at positions 29 to 507 of the family's 1533-position model. The record is from RNAcentral.
AGUGAACGCUGGCGGUAGGCCUAACACAUGCAAGUCGAACGGCAGCACAGUAAGAGCUUGCUCUUACGGGUGGCGAGUGGCGGACGGGUGAGGCAUACAUCGGAAUCUACUUUUUCGUGGGGGAUAACGUAGGGAAACUUACGCUAAUACCGCAUACGACCUACGGGUGAAAGCAGGAGAUCUUCGGACCUUGCGCGAUUGAAUGAGCCGAUGUCGGAUUAGCUAGUUGGCGGGGUAAAGGCCCACCAAGGCGACGAUCCGUAGCUGGUCUGAGAGGAUGAUCAGCCACACUGGAACUGAGACACGGUCCAGACUCCUACGGGAGGCAGCAGUGGGGAAUAUUGGACAAUGGGCGCAAGCCUGAUCCAGCCAUACCGCGUGGGUGAAGAAGGUCUUCGGGUCGUAAAGCCCUUUUGUUGGGAAAGAAAAGCAGCAGGUUAAUCCCCCGCUGUUCUGACGGUACCCAAAGAGUAAGCACCGGCUAACUUCGUG